This 407-nucleotide ribosomal RNA is filed under the name uncultured bacterium. Its description in RNAcentral is "partial 16S ribosomal RNA". It matches the Rfam family "Bacterial small subunit ribosomal RNA", at positions 28 to 526 of the family's 1533-position model. The record is from RNAcentral.
GACGAACGCUGGCGGCGUGCCUAAUACAUGCAAGUAGAACGCAGUUGCGAACGGGUGAGUAACGCGUAGGUAACUGCCUCAUAGCGGGGGAUAACUAGUGGAAAAGAUAGAUAAUAUCGCAUACGUUGAGAUGGACCUGCGUUGUCGUAGCUAGUUGGUGAGGUAAAGGCUCACCAAGGCGACGAAACAGAGCAGACCUGAGAGGGGGAUCGGACACACUGGGACUGAGACACGGCCCAGACUCCUCCGGGAGGCAGCAGUAGGGAAUCUUCGGCAAUGGACGGAAGUCUGACCGAGCAACGCCGCGUGAGUGAAGAAGGUUUUCGGAUCGUAAAGCUCUGUUGUUAGAGAAGCUGUAACGAACCAGAAAGGGCCUGCUAACUACGUGCCAGCCGCCGCGGUAAUGC